RNAcentral lists this long non-coding RNA (222 nucleotides) under Mytilus galloprovincialis (Mediterranean mussel). The record is from RNAcentral. Lineage: Eukaryota; Metazoa; Mollusca; Bivalvia; Mytilida; Mytilidae.
UGGAAAAUGACGCUUUCAGCGGCAUGUUUCCGAUACUAUUGACCUGAACUUCCAUUACAUUUCUUUGCCUACCGCGCUUGGUUCGUAUUUACUUUCCAUUACAUUUCUCUGUCUACCGCACUUGGUUUCGUAUUUACUAUUUUACAUACAAACUGGAAUCUGCUUGUAUUAUCAUUAUUGUGUAGUAAUCAACCGGGAACCAGUUUACAUACUUUAUUUACA